RNAcentral lists this ribosomal RNA (135 nucleotides) under uncultured bacterium. Its description in RNAcentral is "partial 16S ribosomal RNA". It matches the Rfam family "Bacterial small subunit ribosomal RNA", at positions 355 to 507 of the family's 1533-position model. The record is from RNAcentral.
UGGGGAAUCUUACGCAAUGGGCGAAAGCCUGACGCAGCAACGCCGCGUGCGGGAAGAAGGCUUUCGGGCUGUAAACCGCUUUCAGCAGGAACGAAAAUGACGGUACCUGCAGAAGAAGGAGCGGCCAACUAUGUG